This 1393-nucleotide ribosomal RNA is filed under the name Archips betulanus. RNAcentral describes it as "16S ribosomal RNA". Lineage: Eukaryota; Metazoa; Arthropoda; Insecta; Lepidoptera; Tortricidae. The record is from RNAcentral.
GUAAAAAAAAAAUUAGUAUAAAAUAUAAUUUAUAAAAAUAAUUUUUAAUAAAAUAUUUAUAAUUGGGGGGUUUAAGUAUUUUUAUAGAAAAAAUUUUUUAAUUUAUAAAGAAUUAGUAUUGUGAAAGAAUUUUGAAAUAUUUGAAAAUUAAUUUUUUUUUAAGUAAAUUUAAUUUAUUGUAUCUUGUGUAUCAGAGUUUAUUAAUAAAAUAUUUUAAAUAAAAAUUUUCUCGAAUUUAAAAGAGUUAAUUAAUUAAAAAAUUUAUUGUAGCAAAAAUAUUUUUCAUAAUUAAUUAGAAAUGAAAUGUUAAUCGUUUUUAAAUAUAUCUAGUUUUUUUAGAAAAAAAUUUAAUUUUAAUUUAUUUUAAUAAUAAUAUUAAUUAAAAAAUAUUUUUAAAAAAUAAUUUAAUAUUUUAAGGGAUAAGCUUUAAUUUAAAUUAAUUAUAAGAUAAUUUUUUUUUAAUUGUGAAAAUUUUAAAAUUUAUAUUGUUUAAAAAUUAUAAUUUUUUAUAAAUAAUUUCAUUAAAAAUAAAAUUUAAUAAAAAUUUAAUUUUUUAUAAAAAAAUAAAAUUUAAUUUAAAAAUUUUAGUUAUAAUGAUAAAAUUAGUAUAAAUAUUUAUAAUUAAUUAUUUUAUAUUAAAUAUUAUUAAUAAUAAAUUUAUUUGAAGAAUAAAUUAUAAGGAAUUCGGCAAAAAUUUAUAUUCACUUGUUUAUCAAAAACAUGUCUUUUUGAAUAAUAAUUAAAAGUCUAAUCUGCCCACUGAUAAGAUUAUUAAAGGGCUGCAGUAUUUUGACUGUACAAAGGUAGCAUAAUCAUUAGUCUCUUAAUUGGUGACUUGUAUGAAAGAUUGGAUGAAAUAUAUACUGUCUUAUUUUUUUUUAUAGAAAUUAAUUUUUUAGUUAAAAAGCUAAAAUAAAUUUAAAAGACGAGAAGACCCUAUAGAGUUUUAUAUAAAAAAUAAUUAAAAAUUUUUUUAUUAAUUUUAAGUUAAAAUUAUAUUUUAUAUUUUGUUGGGGUGAUAGAAAAAUAAAGUAAACUUUUUUUAAUAAAAAUUAUAAAUUUAACAUUUAUAAAUGAUUAAAUGAUCCAUAAUUUUUGAUUAUAAGAUUAAAUUACCUUAGGGAUAACAGCGUAAUUUUUUUUUUUAGUUCAAAUAAGAAAAAAAGUUUGCGACCUCGAUGUUGGAUUAAGAUAAAAUUUAAAUGCAAAAGUUUAAAAUUUUGAUCUGUUCGAUCAUUAAAAUCUUACAUGAUCUGAGUUCAAACCGGUGUGAGCCAGGUUGGUUUCUAUCUUUAAAUAAUAAAAAUAUUUUAGUACGAAAGGAUUAAAUAUUUAAAAUAAUUUUAUAAUAAUUGAAUAUUAAUAAAAAUUUAUUUAAAAAAUAAAAAUUAAA